UAUUGGGAUUGAAUACAUGGUUCGCUGGACAAUUAAGACUCCACCCUCUUCAUCCUCUUCAUCUCAUUACAAUUCUUCUAUGGAUAAGGUGUCCCAACACAAAUGCAAUGGGAAUGUGCGCGCAGGGUUAUUAACUAGAAUUUCUUACAAAGUGAUAUACGGUUCGAUCUGUGCCUCUUGCCCUGGCCUAUGUGAAUUGCAGUUGUUUGGGUUGUUCAGUGAGGGUUUCAUUUAUUACUUUCUUGUAUUUAUCUUUGGGUAGUUGAUCAAGGCUGUGAUCUCUCUAGAUUUUGAUGGGACAAGGAUGAAAAGUCAACCUGGAUAUGAAUUGGUUUUUCCGAAUGGAGAUGCAAGAGAUGGGAUACUGGAUAUGCAUUGGUUUUUCAGAAUGGAGAUACAAGAGAUAGGAUACUGGAUAUGCAUUGGUUUUUCAGAAAUUGGAGAUGCAAGAGAUGGGAUACAGUGGUGAUGUCCAGUUCCUCUCUUAUUUAUGUACUGGCGGUUCCUUUUAUAUAGGUUUUUCUUUUGACUGAUUUGCCCCGUAACAGCCGUUGUAUAUUGGUAAAUCAAUGUAUAGUGUGAUGUUGCCUCUUUGAUCCAGCACUCCAUGGUAUGUUGUAUCCAUCCAUGAAUUGAGAAAUGAAUCUGCUAGAGUUUUGGAAGAUGAAUUGAGAUUGUGGCAUAGUCUUUAUUGAAGUUCAGAAUCAUAUCCAAUCUUUAGUAAUGGUGAUACCUCAUCAAUAUCCUGCUUGCGCUUGUAUGUAUGGAGUCUUGGCUUAUCUGUUUGUUUGUUUCAGUUGCUCUAGCAUGAUGCUCACUCUUCUGGUGACAAAGGAUUACUCUGCAUUUUCGUGAUCCAUUUGAGCAAGAUAAGAUAACUGAAACAUCGAUUGCCUUGCCUUUGUUUUAACUAUUGCUGGCGGAUUUCCAUUGCACUGCUCGGGCUACAUUAUGACUUUAUUUCUCUUAACAAUGUUGUUCAGUGAAGUUGUUGAAGAGGUGUUCUUUUGUUCAAACAAAAAAAAAAGUCGGGUUUUUCUUGUGGUUGGUUACAGAUCAUUGUGACCUGAUUUUAUCGAGUGCCCUUGUGUGCCGACGAAUGAAGUGUAAUUAUGGUAUCCAUAGGUGAUGUUGGCUUUUGUGACGCCAAUGCCUAAGCUAUUGCAUUGCUUCUGUUGGCCCAUGUAAUUCUUAUGGUUAUGCUAUUGGAUUAUUUCUGUUCAGUUUGCUGGAUCAUGUUUCCAAGAUUCAAGAAUUUUUUUUUUUUGAAGAAUCCAAGAUUCAAGAUAAUUCCCUGGUAAUUUGCAAUCAACUUGAUGCUGAUAGAAGGUGGUUAUCUUGAGAUGUGGUGAUGGAGUUCGGCAAUUUGUUCAAUAUUUUAGGGGAACAAAGCAAAUUGGAAAGGCGUUCUCAUGUGCAGCUGAUUUGAUGAGUUCAAGCACUAGGUGUGGCAUUGCUUCCGUGAUAGGCAACAGGUUGAAGUGCUUAUUGCAAACCAUGGAUUCACAGAUGGUCGUCGGGUUUUGGGAUAAUAAAUGCCCCAUAUUUGUCCCACCUUUCAUUAGGUGCGAUAAUGAUCAAUGUCUGCAUUCUUUGCGAAGUGUGAUUAUAGGUGGUCCUCUUGGUUGAUUUUGGGAACGAAACAUUGCUGGAUACUGCCGUGCUCCUACAACAAAAGUUGGUUCGUGCUUUCGAUAUCAACCUGGUUCAUGGGUUUGAUUGGUUUGAAUUAUUGGAUAACCCUCAUCAAAUUUUUUUUGGGUUGGUAUGAUUUGAUAUUGUUUCCGGGAGGCUUGCUUUCACGAGUAUUGGCGCAGUUCUGAAAAUUUUGUGCCCUUAGGUUUCAUGUGAUGGUCUUAUUGGAGGCAAUAAUGGAGGCGCACAACAUUGUUUGAUGUUCCUUGAGAUUAUUGGAUUUCUUGUGUGCUUUGUGUUGCAUUAUUUUAUCAGUUACAACUUUUAUUGGAUCAUUGCCACAUGUUUUGAUAUGUAUGGGAACGAGUUAUUUUGACUGGAUUGAAUCUGCACUCGUGCAAGUCUGUAGAUCCAUUCUGUGGCCAUCGGGACUUAUUCCUAGUGGUUCUGGGAGACCUGCUGAGUUCUAUCAAUGUGAUUUAGCUGUAGUGGUUUUGAGAGACCUGCUGAAUUCUCCAUAGGGAUAUAUUUAUGAAGGCGCACAGGUAUUGUUUGAUGUUCCAUGAGAUUUCUAAGCUGUGUUGCAUUACUUUGUCAAUGACAUUUUUUAUUAGAUCAUUGAUGCAUGUUUUGACAUGUAUGGGAACUAAUUAUUUUGACUGGAUUGCUUCUGGCCUUCUGCAAGAGUAGAUCUAUGUUAUGGGCAUCGGGAUUUAUUUCUAGUGGUUUUGGGAGAGUAAUCGGUGGCACACAUUGGACUGUUUCGAAUUUGUUGUCUAGCAGUGUGGUUUGAUUUAUCUGGACCCAACUUUGGACCUUCUUGUUGGCUAGCCUAGAGUUUCUCUUUAUUAAUUAUAUGAUGAUACCCUUGCAUCCUGGUGAUGCUGUAGGUGGGGGAGGUAUAUAUCGAUUGGUUAUUUGCCCAAUGGGCACCAUGGCCUAUGGCUUCUGAGUGGGCUCUGUUUGGUAUGUUUUAAUUAUAGUCAAGUGCUUCGGAUCUCUCGGUGGGGUGGUAUAUACAGUGGCUGUUGUAAUAUUGGGGGUUUAGGCUGCAUCAUGGUUCUAGCAACCAUAUUGUUAGCUGAUUUGUAUUUCAAUUUCCUGUUGCGUUUUGUUGAACGGCUGGCAAUUAGGUUUUUAUAUGCAUUAUGACUGGAGCAUUGGACAGUAUUGAGGUGAUAUCAGUGCCCGGAACAUUCAAAUGUCAAAAAUAUUGUUUA
Molecule: long non-coding RNA, 2855 nt
Organism: Amborella trichopoda
Lineage: Eukaryota; Viridiplantae; Streptophyta; Magnoliopsida; Amborellales; Amborellaceae
Source: RefSeq, a predicted model, not a curated record